Molecule: ribosomal RNA, 387 nt
Filed under: Scelarcis perspicillata (Menorca wall lizard)
Lineage: Eukaryota; Metazoa; Chordata; Lepidosauria; Squamata; Lacertidae
Description: partial 16S ribosomal RNA
Rfam family: Archaeal large subunit ribosomal RNA
Source: RNAcentral
ACUGGAAUGAACGGCUAAAUGAGGACUAAACUGUCUCUUACAGUCUAUCAAUGAAAUUAAUCUUCCAGUACAAAAGCUGGAAUAAGCUCAUAAGACGAGAAGACCCUGUGGAGCUUUAAAACCAAACCACAAAACUCUCAUGCCUUCUGGUUUUUAGUUGGGGCGACUUCGGAGCAAAAAAAACCCUCCGAAAACUCUUAGUCAUUAAGAUCAACACACCAAAAACAAUUUUACGACCCAGCAGCUUCCUAAACACACCUGUCUGAUCAAUGAACCAAGUUACCCCAGGGAUAACAGCGCCAUCCCCUCCUAGAGUCCCUAUCGACAAGGGGGUUUACGACCUCGAUGUUGGAUCAGGACACCCCAAUGGUGCAGCCGCCAUUAAAG